Molecule: long non-coding RNA, 1803 nt
Organism: Amphiprion ocellaris (clown anemonefish)
Lineage: Eukaryota; Metazoa; Chordata; Actinopteri; Pomacentridae
Exons: 3
Source: RefSeq, a predicted model, not a curated record
GGAGAUGAUUAUUGGGUUUUCAGCCUUGUGUACCCACAUUAACCCCACAUUGGUAGAUAAUAAUAUUGUGUGUUGAACUCCCUCACGUUUCUUGUAGAUUUAUGCCACCUGCUGGAUACUCUGAUAGAUUACACAAAGACUAUUAUGCAACCUCCUACGGUCUGGAAAGUUUGCUCUCUUCCCCAGUUAGGAUUAAAAUGGAGUCUUUGUGACACUAAUGUAAUGAGAAUACAUAUGCUGUACUGAUUUUGAAAUGAGGAUUAGAGGUGAUACGGUAGCAAGAGCUUCUUUUAUUAUGUUCUUGUUAAUUUUUAUGCACCAGUUCCUGCAGCAAUUUAUGACAGAAAUGUGAAGAAAAACACAAAAAUUCAGCAGCAGCAACAAACUUUAAAUUUCACAAAAGUUUCAUAUUGUGGAAUACAUUUCAGAGAUGUUUAAUCUGAAAAGCUAGAGAAAUGAAACAUAGAUACAGAGUUUCAGCCAGCUGAGGCAGACACACCCUUGUGUUUGUUGUAGCGUGUCACUCUCACAUGGGUGCAGCAGGAACUUUCACUUCACCACGAGAACAUAACUCAUCUAAACACACUUUCCCAGUCUUGGCGCAUGUUUAGUGCACAUGUACACCCUGAUUUCCACCGUGGAUGACAGUGUUUGUCACCUUUUUUGUUGUCAAAAUCCGUAUUUUGCCACCCUAGAUGAUUUAAGAUCAAGCCGCCUACAGAAAGAAGCUGAUCACUCAUCCCAGAAGCCAUUGCCUAUAUAGAAAUGGAAACUCCUUCUUGACAUCAACCACAGCGGUUUGGAGCCACCACCAACUUACUAUAGUUCAAUGUGGAGGCCAAGUGGCCUGGGUCUGUUCAUGACUGGAGGAUUUAUCAUGAGUCUAACAUGAGCAACAGACUGCAACGUGGAGAGUUUGAUGGCCUUCUGCUGGGUGACAGGGGUUACCAUGCCAACCCAGGCUGAUGACCUCAUACCCUGACCCUGAACCAGGCUCACUGCAGGAUGAGAGCCUGGGUGGAGAUGACCAUAGACCUGCUGAAAGCCCAUCUCCAGUACCUACAUCACCUCAGGGUGACUCCUGGGAGGACCUGUGAUAAUAUUCAUAAUACUGCCACUGUAGCUGACACUGUUUAAGAGUCUUUAGGUUGCCAUGGCAAUACAGGAAGGUGGUCAUUUACACCCAAGUAAAUUUUAUUUUGGAAAGCAGUAUUAAAAUAUUUGUCCUGUGGUACCUUUGAUCAUUUUGGUCUGGUAAAAUGCAUUACUUUUAGUCUAGUUUUUCGUUUGGUUUAUGGUCCUGGUUGAUAAAGUUGUAGCAGUUGUCAUGUGACUUACGCCACAGAUGUGAGAUGCAGCAUGGGAUAGAUACAGAUCAGGCAGGUUCUUCAGCCAGUUUUACAGUCCGUCUGCCUUUAAUUUCUGUUGGUCAUCCAGGCAAACGGUAAUUAUUAAUACAUUUCAGAGAACUGUAUAUUUGUUUAGACAGAGACAAAGGUAUUUGUUUCUUUUUCAUUUCAUGACUUGAAUAUGAGAUUAUCUUUGUAGUUUUCACAGUGUACCACCAAAUGAUAUGUUUGAGAAGAAUAAACCUUUUGUGGACAUCAGUACAAAGUAUGGACUCUUUCACUGACCAGCAGUUACAGCCACUAUUAGAGGAGAGCAACACUCUGCCCUACAAACUGAAGACCCAGAUGAUGACCUCAUCCACCUGCCAGCUAUCCAAGAUAACAGAGCAGUCAGAGACACCAUAUGCAAUAAUCACUGCAGAGUUUAAGUCUCCAUCAUCACCACCACAGCAGU